RNAcentral lists this small nucleolar RNA (134 nucleotides) under Mastacembelus armatus (zig-zag eel). RNAcentral describes it as "Small nucleolar RNA SNORA75 (ENSMAMG00000002111.2)". It matches the Rfam family "Small nucleolar RNA SNORA75". Rfam says of the family: U23 belongs to the H/ACA class of snoRNAs. snoRNAs bind a number of proteins (including dyskerin, Gar1p and Nop10p in the case of the H/ACA class) to form snoRNP complexes. This class are thought to guide the sites of modification of uridines to pseudouridines by forming direct base pairing interactions with substrate RNAs. Targets include ribosomal and spliceosomal RNAs as well as the Trypanosoma spliced leader RNA (SL RNA) as possibly other, still unknown cellular RNAs. The record is from Rfam by way of RNAcentral. Lineage: Eukaryota; Metazoa; Chordata; Actinopteri; Synbranchiformes; Mastacembelidae.
ACCUUCUCAUGAGCUCCUCUUAAUCUUACCCAUGAUUCUGUGUGGAUUCGCACGAGAAGCAGAGCUAAUGCACAGUUAGAAUGAGCUCACCCAGGUUUUAUGCGGGUGUUGCAUAUGUCAGCUGUGCAACAAAU